This 468-nucleotide ribosomal RNA is filed under the name uncultured bacterium. Its description in RNAcentral is "partial 16S ribosomal RNA". It matches the Rfam family "Bacterial small subunit ribosomal RNA", at positions 28 to 507 of the family's 1533-position model. The record is from RNAcentral.
GACGAACGCUGGCGGCGUGCUGAACACAUGCAAGUCGAACGGAAAGGCCCUGCUUUUGUGGGGUGCUCGAGUGGCGAACGGGUGAGUAACACGUGAGUAACCUGCCCUUGACUUUGGGAUAACUUCAGGAAACUGGGGCUAAUACCGGAUAGGAGCUCCUGCUGCAUGGCGGGGGUUGGAAAGUUUCGGCGGUUCGGGUUGGACUCGCGGCUUAUCAGCUUGUUGGUGGGGUAGUCUCUUACCAAGGAAUUGACGGGUAGCCGGCAUGAGAGGGUCACCGGCCACUAUGGGACUGAGAUACGGCCCCGACUCCGAUGGGAGGCAGCACUGGAGAAGCUUGCACGAUGGGAAGAAGCCUGAUGCCGCAACGCAGCGGGCGGGAUGAUGGCCUUCGGUUUGUCAUCCUCUUUUGCCUGUGACGAGGCGUGAGUGACGGUAAUCGGUAAAGAAGCACCGCCUAACUACGUG